Molecule: ribosomal RNA, 465 nt
Filed under: uncultured bacterium
Lineage: Bacteria
Description: partial 16S ribosomal RNA
Rfam family: Bacterial small subunit ribosomal RNA
Source: RNAcentral
CCUACGGGAGGCAGCAGUGGGGAAUUUUGCGCAAUGCUCGUAAGAGUGACGCAGCGACGCCGCGUGAAUGACGAAGGCCUUCGGGUCGUAAAGUUCUUUCGACAGGGAAGAAAAUGCCUAUAAGUAACUGUGUAUGUAUUGACGGUACCUGUAUAAGCAGCCCCGGCUAACUCCGUGCCAGCAGCCGCGGUAAUACGGAGGGGGCGAGCGUUGUUCGGAGGGACUGGGCGUAAAGAGCACGGAGGCGGUGUUGUAAGUCAUUAGUCAAAGACUAGAGCUCAACUUUAGUAAGGCUAGUGAUACUAUAAUACUAGAGUAUCAGAGAGGAUUGCAGAAUUCCUGGUGUAGCGGUGAAAUGCGUAGAUAUCAGGAGGAAUACCGUUAGCGAAGGCGGCAAUCUGGCUGGAAACUGACGCUGAGGUGCGAAAGCGUGGGUAGCAAACAGGAUUAGAUACCCCUGUAGUC